CUGCUAUCGGAUUGAUACUAAGCCAUGCGAGUCUUUGUAGUAAUACAAGGCAUACGGCUCAGUAACACGUAGUCAACCUACCCUAUGGACAAGAAUAAUCUCGGGAAACUGGGCAUAAUUCUUGAUAGAUCAUAAUGCCUGGAAUGGUUUAUGGUUAAAAUGAUUCGUCGCCAUAGGAUGGGACUGCGGCCUAUCAGCUUGUUGGUGAGGUAAUGGCCCACCAAGGCGAUUACAGGUACGGGCUCUGAGAGGAGAAGCCCGGAGAUGGGUACUGAGACACGGACCCAGGCCCUAUGGGGCGCAGCAGGCGAGAAAACUUUGCAAUGUGCGAAAGCACGACAAGGUUAAUCCGAGUGAUUUCUGCUAAAGAAAUCUUUUGCCAGUCAUAAAACCACUGGUGAAUAAGGGGUGGGCAAGUUCUGGUGUCAGCCGCCGCGGUAAAACCAGCACCUCAAGUGGUCAGGAUGAUUAUUGGGCCUAAAGCAUCCGUAGCCGGCUUUGUUAGUUUUCGGUUAAAUCCAUGUGCUCAACGCAUGGGCUGCCGAAAAUACUGCAUAGCUAGGGAGUGGGAGAGGUAGACGGUACUCAGUAGGAAGGGGUAAAAUCCUUUGAUCUAUUGAUGACCACCUGUGGCGAAGGCGGUCUACCAGAACACGUUCGACGGUGAGGGAUGAAAGCUGGGGGAGCAAACCGGAUUAGAUACCCGGGUAGUCCCAGCUGUAAACGAUGCAGACUCGAUGAUGCAUUGGCAUAAUAGCCAGUGCAGUGUCGCAGGGAAGCCGUUAAGUCUGCCGCCUGGGAAGUACGUACGCAAGUAUGAAACUUAAAGGAAUUGGCGGGGGAGCACCACAAGGGGUGAAGCCUGCGGUUCAAU
Molecule: ribosomal RNA, 874 nt
Filed under: uncultured marine group I thaumarchaeote
Lineage: Archaea; Thermoproteati; Nitrososphaerota
Description: SSU rRNA
Rfam family: Archaeal small subunit ribosomal RNA
Source: RNAcentral